This 253-nucleotide ribosomal RNA is filed under the name uncultured bacterium. RNAcentral describes it as "partial 16S ribosomal RNA". It matches the Rfam family "Bacterial small subunit ribosomal RNA", at positions 524 to 776 of the family's 1533-position model. The record is from RNAcentral.
UACGUAGGGGGAAAGCGUUAUCCGGAUUUACUGGGUGUAAAGGGAGCGUAGGUGGCUGUGCAAGUCAGAUGUGAAAGCCCAGGGCUCAACCCUGGGACUGCAUUUGAAACUGCAGAGCUAGAGUGCAGGAGAGGUAAGUGGAAUUCCUAGUGUAGCGGUGAAAUGCGUAGAUAUUAGGAGGAACACCAGUGGCGAAGGCGGCUUACUGGACUGUAACUGACACUGAGGCUAGAAAGCGUGGGGAGCAAACAGG